RNAcentral lists this transfer RNA (68 nucleotides) under Urocitellus parryii (Arctic ground squirrel). Its description in RNAcentral is "Spermophilus parryii (Arctic ground squirrel) tRNA". It matches the Rfam family "tRNA". Rfam says of the family: Transfer RNA (tRNA) molecules are approximately 80 nucleotides in length. Their secondary structure includes four short double-helical elements and three loops (D, anti-codon, and T loops). Further hydrogen bonds mediate the characteristic L-shaped molecular structure. tRNAs have two regions of fundamental functional importance: the anti-codon, which is responsible for specific mRNA codon recognition, and the 3' end, to which the tRNAs corresponding amino acid is attached (by aminoacyl-tRNA synthetases). tRNAs cope with the degeneracy of the genetic code in two manners: having more than one tRNA (with a specific anti-codon) for a particular amino acid; and 'wobble' base-pairing, i.e. permitting non-standard base-pairing at the 3rd anti-codon position. RNAcentral also lists the same sequence under 1 other name. The record is from Rfam by way of RNAcentral. Lineage: Eukaryota; Metazoa; Chordata; Mammalia; Rodentia; Sciuridae.
GGGGUUGUGGCUCAGAGGUAGAGCGCUUGCCUAGCAUGUGUGAGGCACUGGGUUCGAUCCCAGCACCG